Molecule: unclassified non-coding RNA, 509 nt
Filed under: Hevea brasiliensis (rubber tree)
Lineage: Eukaryota; Viridiplantae; Streptophyta; Magnoliopsida; Malpighiales; Euphorbiaceae
Source: RNAcentral
UUAAUUCACAUAAAUUUCCAUUUGCAGCAACGCACAAUGGAGUGAUUAUAUGGAACAAGUAGAAUGAUUACCAAUUAUUGCAUUGUUACACAGUGCACAUGUAAUCAAUGCCAAUGUUAUUUGGCAUAACUCCUAUCACAAAGGCCCGUUGUCAUGCUAGUUCCCCCCUUAACACGGUACUGACAAAUGUGCUUGGCUGCUUGCGCAGCCUAGACACAUCAAAUGCCAUAACUGUGCCGACCAAAACAAACAUCCGAGAAAACAGGACAACUACCAUGCAUACCGGUGAAAACAUCCUAGCUAUUAAUGCAUGUGAGAUAGUUUGGGGAUCACAUAAGCCUGAACAUUCAAAUAAAUUAAAAAUCUAAUCAUAACAAUACAGGUAUUAAAACAUGGAUCAUCCUGGUUGUUAAAUAAAUGUUUCUUGAACCAUUAUAACACACACAGAACUACCUAAGAAAGCUGGCGGUCCAACCCAGUUUGUCCUGUCUGAACCCUCUUAGUGAUGG